CCCAAAACAACAAACAAAAUACAAAAUACAAACAAACCCAAACAAACAAACAUAAAAACCAAACACUCCCCACCCCCCCAAAAAAAAGACAGUGAGUGAAAGGGGCAAAGAAAAAGUACUCAUCUUUCCCAAAUAUGAAACAAUGACAAAGUAAAAAUCAUUACUGGUGAUAGCUUCCAUUUCUAAGAUUCAAAAGCAAUAUUGUGACAAGCAGCCUGUCGUAAACUUUAUCUUUUGUGAACUCCAGAAAAUCAUUAACUCUUAAUAAAUCAUUUAAUAGAUUAAAACUUUUUAAAGUUUUGUACAACGCAACUGCAAAUUAUUCUGACGGAUAUGGCCAUCAAGCUUUCCUAAAAAAACACACCUUGGUAUUCCCAAAGCACAAGUUGAAAUAGGCCCUCAUUACUUUGUCAAACACGCUGCUUUCAACUGUGUGACAGAACAAGUUGGUUAUGGUUGUUUAACCAAUUUGCUUUCAUCAUCAUUGUAUAUGGUCCACAACUUAAAGAGGGCUCUUUUAUCCUCAGUUUAUGCAAGAAUUGUAAAAUAAAACCACGCAAAGCCAAGAGGGCUCUUCCAGGUGAAAGAGACUUUAGCAUAUUUGCCCUAUAUUCCUACCAACUCCUUGGAAAAAAGCACAAGUGAAAGCAAGAAAAAUAGCAUAAGGGAAAAGGCUUAUAAACCCUGAAAGUUAAGAGGUCCUCUUAAUAAUAACAACAUAACACACAUUAUCACACAUCAGAAGACUGUUGGCACGGCACAUCAAAUAUUCAAGUCAAAACUAGAAGCUACUCACGUAUAACAAUCACAAUGUUGACUGUAAGCAAUUUCUUCAAGGCUUACAUCAAUAUCUAGUGGAGGCCGGGUGCCAUCCUAAAGGAGUUGAGAUAAUAAAAAGAGAAAGAUAAGAAAAGUUGUUUUUUUGUAGUUUUUUUUUGUUUGUUUGUUUGUGGGGUUUUUUGUUUAAGUUUCACCAAUCAGGAAUCAUAUAGGGGUCUGACAAAUUCCCUGAAAUAUCCACAAAUAUUAACAUUUUUAAUCUCAAACCAGCAAGAAGGACAACCAGCCUUAAAAACAUUUAAUUAUGAAAUAAUAAGUAAUGCUAAAUUUUAACUUCCCAUCAACAGAUUAGAUUUUCUCUAACAAAAUGAUGGCCAGCCUGUCACAGGGCAAUGUAACACUGACACUGUUCCAUAUGUGGACAGGCCUUAAGUAGCUGGUUACAUCAACAGCAUUGUUUAGCUGAACUUCCUCUAGUUUUACUAUGUGUUGAAAUCAAAUAGCUAAGCAAUAAGCAUGUAGAUUUAGUCUUAUCUCACUUUUAAGACUGAAUUAAUUACAUAUCUUUUAUGUUCUAGACAUACAUUUUCAAACUUAGUAGUUUUCCAUUCUGGAUUUCAUAAAAGUUUACAUAUACUGUAGAUACUCCUGUAGACUUUUGACACUACUCUUCCAUAUUAUUACUGCUUCCUCCACAAAGAUCCCAGAAGUGGUUUCUUUUGUUAUUAUUCUUGCAUCUCCGACAGCAAAAAAUAUUGAACACUAUAAAUUAUAUUUGAAACUAGCCCACAAAAUUUUCAAACACUGUAAGCAUGGAGAUCUCCCUAUUACCCUUAGACAACAGUAAAGUAGUAUCUUGGUAGUACAGAGAUUCUAGAUGUCUACAGUAUCAAACAAUAUCUGAGUUUAGAAAUGAAAGGGCAUUUUUUUGGUACAAUUGAUGUAUUUCUGCUAGAAACUCAUUUGACAGAAAAGUACAAAUUCUUAUAAUUCUUUUCUGACUUCUUCAGGUGAACUAACAUACCACAUAUCUACAAUACCUUCAAGAGAAAAAAAUAAAAUGUAUAGUAACUGGCAAGUUAAAACCCUUGAAUACUUAACAGACAGUAGAAUAAUCAAGGACUAGGCAGAGUAAGGGAGCAAUCUUGGAUGAAUCUUUGGUAGAAUACCAGUUAGAAAGGGGAAAAAAAAACCCACCCCAAACCAACCAACCAAAACCAAAAACCAACAGAAAGACAAAGGAACAGCCUGAUUUUGAAACAUCUUGAAAGCAGAGACUUCAACCUGGAAACAAGGAAGCCUCAUACAAUUUCAUAUGGGAUUUUAGUAAUUGUUGUACAAGACUGCAAGCCAGAGAGACACCUCCUCUGCUAAAAAUAAAUGUUUUACCUAUUGCUUUGAGUAGCAACAUAUGUUGGCCAUUUUUUGAGUGGGAUGAUCUGCCUACUCUGGAGACAAGCUCAGCAGUAUGUGCACCAGAGAAGCUUGAUACAGCUUGCAGGAAUGUAAGUACACUAGUAACUUGAACAUGUGAAGACAUGCUUCUCUUACAUAAUUAAUAUGCAAUUUGAAAAUGACUGAUUUGUACAAGUUAACUGAAAUAAAACUCUUUCACAACAAGCCUUCAACCUA
Aquila chrysaetos chrysaetos is the source of this 2412-nucleotide long non-coding RNA. RefSeq lists it as uncharacterized. The record is from RefSeq and is a predicted model, not a curated record. The transcript is spliced from 2 exons. Lineage: Eukaryota; Metazoa; Chordata; Aves; Accipitriformes; Accipitridae.